This 388-nucleotide ribosomal RNA is filed under the name uncultured bacterium. Its description in RNAcentral is "bacterial SSU rRNA". It matches the Rfam family "Bacterial small subunit ribosomal RNA", at positions 28 to 417 of the family's 1533-position model. The record is from RNAcentral.
GACGAACGCUGGCGGCGUGCUUAACACAUGCAAGUCGAGCGGUAAGGCCCUUUCGGGGGGUACACGAGCGGCGAACGGGUGAGUAACACGUGGGUGACCUGCCCUCAGCUCUGGGAUAAGCCUGGGAAACUGGGUCUAAUACUGGAUAUGACUCCACGGUGCAUGUCGUGGGGUGGAAAGCCUUGUGCGGCUGAGGAUGGGCCCGCGGCCUAUCAGCUUGUUGGUGGGGGAUGGCCUACCAAGGCGACGACGGGUAGCCGGCCUGAGAGGGCGACCGGCCACACUGGGACUGAGACACGGCCCAGACUCCUACGGGAGGCAGCAGUGGGGAAUCUUGCGCAAUGGGCGAAAGCCUGACGCAGCGACGCCGCGUGAGGGAUGACGGCCU